RNAcentral lists this ribosomal RNA (474 nucleotides) under uncultured Vibrio sp. RNAcentral describes it as "bacterial SSU rRNA". It matches the Rfam family "Bacterial small subunit ribosomal RNA", at positions 35 to 512 of the family's 1533-position model. Lineage: Bacteria; Pseudomonadati; Pseudomonadota; Gammaproteobacteria; Vibrionales; Vibrionaceae. The record is from RNAcentral.
GCGUGGGGCGGAGACGACACUAACAAUCCUUCGGGUGCGUUAAUGGGCGUCGAGCGGCGGACGGGUGAGUAAUGCCUAGGAAAUUGCCUUGAUGUGGGGGAUAACCAUUGGAAACGAUGGCUAAUACCGCAUAAUGCCUACGGGCCAAAGAGGGGGAUCUUCGGACCUCUCGCGUCAAGAUAUGCCUAGGUGGGAUUAGCUAGUUGGUGAGGUAAUGGCUCACCAAGGCGACGAUCCCUAGCUGGUCUGAGAGGAUGAUCAGCCACACUGGAACUGAGACACGGUCCAGACUCCUACGGGAGGCAGCAGUGGGGAAUAUUGCACAAUGGGCGAAAGCCUGAUGCAGCCAUGCCGCGUGCAUGAAGAAGGCCUUCGGGUUGUAAAGUACUUUCAGUUGUGAGGAAGGGGGUAACGUUAAUAGCGUUAUCUCUUGACGUUAGCAACAGAAGAAGCACCGGCUAACUCCGUGCCAGC